CUUAACCACAUGCAAGUUGGAACGGGAUCCCUGGCGCUUGCGCCGGGGUGAGAGUGGCGAACGGGUGAGUAAUGCGUGACCAACCUGCCCCAUGCACCGGAAUAGCUCCUGGAAACGGGUGGUAAUGCCGGAUGCUCCAGAUGACCGCAUGGGAUUCUGGGAAAGCUUUUGCGGCAUGGGAUGGGGUCGCGUCCUAUCAGCUUGUUGGUGGGGUGAUGGCCCACCAAGGCUUCGACGGGUAGCCGGCCUGAGAGGGCGACCGGCCACAUUGGGACUGAGAUACGGCCCAGACUCCUACGGGAGGCAGCAGUGGGGAAUAUUGCGCAAUGGGCGAAAGCCUGACGCAGCGACGCCGCGUGCGGGAUGGAGGCCUUCGGGUUGUAAACCGCUUUUAUCGGGGAGCAAGCGAGAGUGAGUGUACCCGUUGAAUAAGCACCGGCUAACUACGUGCCAGCAGCCGCGGUAAUACGUAGGGUGCAAGCGUUAUCCGGAUUUAUUGGGCGUAAAGGGCUCGUAGGCGGUUCGUCGCGUCUGGUGUGAAAGUCCAUCGCUUAACGGUGGAUCUGCGCCGGGUACGGGCGGGCUGGAGUGCGGCAGGGGAGACUGGAAUUCCCGGUGUAACGGUGGAAUGUGUAGAUAUCGGGAAGAACACCAAUGGCGAAGGC
RNAcentral lists this ribosomal RNA (665 nucleotides) under Bifidobacterium pullorum subsp. saeculare. RNAcentral describes it as "bacterial SSU rRNA". It matches the Rfam family "Bacterial small subunit ribosomal RNA", at positions 47 to 722 of the family's 1533-position model. The record is from RNAcentral. Lineage: Bacteria; Bacillati; Actinomycetota; Actinomycetes; Bifidobacteriales; Bifidobacteriaceae.